Molecule: ribosomal RNA, 383 nt
Filed under: uncultured eukaryote
Lineage: Eukaryota
Description: partial 18S ribosomal RNA
Rfam family: Eukaryotic small subunit ribosomal RNA
Source: RNAcentral
CAAUAGCGUAUAUUAAAGUUGUUGCAGUUAAAAAGCUCGUAGUUGGAUUUCUGGUAGGAGCGACCGUGCCGAACUUGAUUGUUCGAGUAUUGUGUUGUCUUCAGCCAUCCUCGUGGAGAACUUUUCUAACAUUAACUUGUUGGGAUUGGGACCCGCGUCGUUUACUGUGAAAAAAUUAGAGUGUUUAAAGCAGGCAUUAGCUUGAAUACAUUAGCAUGGAAUAAUAAGAUAGGACUUUGGUACUAUUUUGUUGGUUUGCAUACCAAAUUAAUGAUCAACAGGAACAGUUUGAGGAUAUUCGUAUAAACAUGUCAGAGGUGAAAUUCUUGGAUUUUGAUCAGACGAACUACUGCGAAAGCAUUUAUCAAGGAUGUUUUCAUUAA